GAUAAGGUGGCUGAGAUUAAGCGGUAAACUGUAAAUUUACACACGAAAUUAAUUUUCCCUUAUCA
RNAcentral lists this transfer RNA (65 nucleotides) under Mecynorhina polyphemus. Its description in RNAcentral is "tRNA-Tyr". Lineage: Eukaryota; Metazoa; Arthropoda; Insecta; Coleoptera; Scarabaeidae. The record is from RNAcentral.